This is an RNA transcript of Vigna radiata var. radiata (mung bean), 3914 nucleotides long. It is a transcript of the gene named auxilin-related protein 2, with no coding region annotated. The transcript has 9 exons. The record is from RefSeq and is a predicted model, not a curated record. Lineage: Eukaryota; Viridiplantae; Streptophyta; Magnoliopsida; Fabales; Fabaceae.
UAACAUCAUGAUUCGAUCCCAAAAUAGUAGUAAACAGAAUUUGAAGAAUACUGUGAUGAUGCAAAUUCUUUAAUACAGUUGGAAAAGCAGAACAAGUGAAGAGACAAAGCAAGAAGAAGACGACCUAACUGAGGCAGUAUUAACCAACAAGAAGCAGAAGAUGAAAGGAGAAUAAAUAAAUAAAAAAUUAAUUAAGAAAAAAAAGACGUUAAAGUGAAACGCAGGUUAGUUUGUAUCAUUUUUUGUAUCCUCUGUGACGUUCUCUCUUCACCGAACUCUCCCGCGGAUCCAGCACCGUACGCGGAGGAUACCAUCGCACACAAGAUCUUUCUCUCUCUCUCUCUCUCUCUCUCUCGAUGAACGAUUUCGAUGGUCUUUUAACCAACGAUUUCGGGUUCAAACCCCAAGGAAAAUCGGCGCCAAUGGCAGCAUCUAAAGCUUCAUCCAACAAUUCAUCUUCUCUCAACUUCGAUUUAGGUUCGCGGUCCGCUCGAGCUUCCAAUUCUUUGGCUGGCCACGACUCCGUCAACGCCGCUUCCUUUCACGAUCUCUUCAGUGGCGGUGGCAAGUCAGACGCGUCCUAUGACUUCGACUCCAUGUUUCGCGGCUCCGCCGAUUUCCGCUCCAAGUCCGUUAACCUCCCGGCUCAUGACAAACCGGUCUACGACAAACCGAUGCAUGACGACGACGACGACGACAUUUUUGACGGCGUUCCCGGCCUCAAGAGCUCCUCCAAGUUCUCCUACGGCGACGUUUUCGCUACGGCCGCGUUCGAUGAUCUUCUCGGCGGGUUAGGUAAAUCGAAGCCUUCGGAGAAGGAAGAGCGAGGUGUCGCGGAUUUUGAUGACUUGAUCCCUGGAUUCGGAAACAGCAAGGUUUCCACUGAUGGGACCGUUCCUAAUAUUGAUUUGUCAUCACAACCUACUAUCAAUUCUUCUAAAACGGCUUCUAGUGAAACAUAUGACCCUUUCAAAGUGUUUGAACCAACUUCAGCCCCAAUGGAUGCAUCCUCAACAUACUUUACAGACCCAUUGGGAGAAAUUAGUAAAUUUAGUAGUUCUAGAAGCACAAAAAAUGAUAGUAUGUCAAAUUCUAAUGGUGAAGUAUAUGAUGAUAUUAAUCCCUUUGGUGGACUUGGAAAUUCUGUGCCUGCAUUCUCAGCAGAGAGAAAUAGCACAAAGGGUAGUAGCUCCCCAAAUACAACCAGUGAUAAAGAAUCAAGUGGCGUAUCAUCUGUGAGGAGUCCUGAGAGACAAACACAAAACACGAUUCUUUUUGAUAAUGAUCAGGAAUUUCAUCAGGCUGCAUUUGACAUGCCUACAUAUUCCUCCAAUUCUUCCAAACCAUAUGGUGAAAGGUCCCCUUCACAUGAUAAUGAUGGUUUUAAACCGGCUAAUGCACAGGCAGAUAUGACUCCGAAAUAUGAAGAGGACUUUGAAUCAAAUGAUGAUGUAUGGCUGACGGUAUCAGAGAUUCCUCUUUUUACUCAGCCAACUGCUGCUCCACCACCUUCAAGACCUCCUCCUCCGCGACCAGUACAUAUCCUCAAGUCGGGAGGAGGUUCAUCUGCUUCUGCCAAUGUCAGAAAGGAUAGUGAAUUUUCUUCUUUUCCAAGUUCCACUCAAUUUUCUCAGGGUCCUAAAUCUACUCCUGCUGCAGCCAAAUUUUCUUCUGCAUUUCAGUUUGAUGAACUUGAAGAUUUUGCCAUGGGCAGGAGUCUUGGUAAUGACAAUGAACAUGGAAAUGGUCUUGCUGGUAAAGAAUUAGAGAUGAACUCAGCUGCUGCAGCGAUGAAAGUGGCUAUGGAUAAAGCAGAAGCUAAAUUUAGGCACGCAAAGGAAGUUAGGGAGAGGGAAAAUACGAAAGCUGUUAAGAGCAAGGAACCUGUCCAAUUGGAACAAGAUGGCAGAGCUGUGACAGAGGAUGGAGGAAAACAGGAAAGGCUAGAUCAUGAUUGGGAGCAAAAGCAGAGAGAGGAGAGAGAGGAAAGAAGACGUGAGAAAGAAAUGGAAGAGAAAGAAAGAGAGCAACAGAGACUUGAGAGAGAAAGAGAAAUGGCUAGACAGGCUGUAGAAAGAGCUACUAGAGAAGCGCGUGAAAGAGCAGCUGUUGAAGCUCGCCAAAGAGCUGAGAGGGCUGCUGUUGGGAGAGCUAAUGCAGAAGCUAGGAAGCGUGCUGAAAGGGCUGCAGUUCAGAGGGUACAAGCUGAAGCCCGUGAAAGGGCUGCUGCUGAGGCAAAGGAAAGGGCUGAGAAGACUGCAGCAGAGGCAAAAGAGAGGGAAGUGCGGGAACAAGCUGCAGCUGCAAGAGCUGAAUCUGAGGCAAGAGUUAAACAAGAACGUGCUGCGGUCGAAAGGGCUGCUGCAGAGGCUCGAGAAAGAGCUGCUGUGCAGGCUCGAGAAAGAGCUGCUGCUGCUGUAAGGAUGAACCAACAACAAAAUGACAAUGAUCUUGAAUCAUUCUUCAGCAAAGGUGCACGAGCAAACAGUGUUCCCAGGCCUCCUAGGUCCAGCACUUCAGACCCUGUAUUUGAUGCCCAAUUUCAGUCAAAAACUUCAGGUGUGUCUUCAAGCAUGAAGAAAGCAUCGUCAUCCACUAAUAUUGUUGAUGAUCUCUCCUCAAUUUUUGGAGCUGCUCCAUCAUCAUCUGGAGCGUUUCAGGAAGUUGAAGGGGAAAGUGAAGAAAGACGAAAAGCCAGGUUGGAACGCCAGCAGAGGGCUCAGGAUCGAGCGGUAUGCCUUACUGCUAAAGCAUUGGCUGAGAAGAAUCAACGGGACCUACAAACUCAAAGAGAGCAAGCUGAGAAACAUAGGCUCGGUGAAACAUUGGAUUUCGAAAUUAAGCGCUGGGCUGCAGGAAAAGAGGGGAACUUGCGUGCUUUGCUUUCCACCUUACAAUAUGUUCUGUGGCCUGAAUGUGGUUGGCAGCCAGUUUCUUUGACUGAUUUGAUUACAGCGGCAGCGGUCAGAAAGGUUUACAGGAAAGCUACAUUGUGCAUUCAUCCUGAUAAAGUGCAACAGAAGGGUGCUACUAUACAACAAAAAUGUAUUGCUGAGAAGGUUUUUGAUCUACUCAAGGAAGCAUGGAAUAAGUUCAAUUCAGAAGAGCUUUUCUAAUCUUAGACGAACUGAACAACGUCCAUGCAGUUUUGUUCUGGCCACUCUGAUGAAAGUUUCUAGCAUUGGCAAGGAGGAGGUGGAUGGGAUUUACUUAAUUAAUAAUCUACAUGGAAAGGUUUGUAUUUCCGAAGAUCAACGACGAUGGAGGCAACUGAGCCAAUAGCAGCUGCAACUGACACUACGAGGCAGACAAAGCUUAAUAUUUGCAUACCUAUCCAUCUCUGACUCCAUUUUGGGAUCUUCUUUUGUUUGAUACUCAUCUCUACAGGGAAGAAAACACUUAAAGGCCAAAACCCCAGUGCUCCAAGAAGUCCCAAGAUGUCAUUGAAGAAUGGAAGCAACAUUGCCACAAUAGUGGUUAUGAUAACAAAUCCUGUUCUCCAAACUAAUCUAAAUGGGCUUAAAUUGUAAGAUGCAAAGCCAGGUAUGGGAACUUUGUAUUCUCUAUCAACUUUGGGCCAUCUUUUUGAAGCCCAUUUCUCGACAAAGGCAAAUAGUGGCUGAGCAUAGACUUGGUAUGCUCCAACAAGGUGAAUUACGAUAGCAGCAUUAGCAAUAUCUACAAGCCAAUAUGGGUCGUAGAAACCAAAUCCAGUUAACAGGUUCCCAGGUGCGUCGUCCCCAAAAGCAGCGUAACCCAUGAAACCACAAAGCAUAUAAAAUGUUGUUGUUACACCAAUACUUAUCUUUGCGGCUCUUUUCAUUGUUUUUGCCUCAGAUGGUGGAGAUUUUAUUGUGUCCUGUGUAAUCAACAAUAUUUAAUUACUUUUGGAUAAAAUUUAUUUUCUUGUUACA